GAGGUACGCAGAAGAUGAACUAACCUGAGAACUGAUGAACCAAAGAAGAGUCGGAGGUCGAGCAUCACAUAGCUGUCAGCUAUGGUGGCUUGUAGGCGGAUGUGUCUCACACCUAAGUUUUUGCCGCUGGACCGUGGUUACAUUCAUCCUAGCUUGGAGGCAACGGUGUGGGUGGGUAUGCAUGUGCAAGGCGAAGAAGUGGACGAAGGCCAAAGAAGCAAUCUCUGCCUCCCUAUCGCUGCGUCCUGCUCCUCAAUAUGUCACCUUAGUCAUGGCCGCCUUAUCCCUCAUGCUGCUGAUUUGAAUCUGCCCUACUCUUCUUCUCCUAGACUGCUCGAGCGCUUCAGCGGGUGCCUUGCCGACGACAGGGAAGGAAGGACCAGAGUAAGUAUAAUAUGGAAGUUCCUGUUCAAAUUAGUAGAAUAUGCUUACCAGGGGUUAGAAUUUAUAGAUAUAUACCAAUUUGUCACUACAGAUUAUAUAUAAUAUGAAAGUUCUUGUCAGUUUUCUUUGUAGUUAGUUUGCGACAAUCACAACAUGAUCAUUUGAAUAUUUUGUUGUAACAAAUCUAUUAUAGCUAUUGUUGUGAAAGAAAAAUCCUUAAAAAAUCACCCAAUAGCAACCCGAGGAAGUUAAGAGACAUAAAUGAUCCAGAUAUGGUUCCAUUAUGCUCCCUCUGUUCGAUAAUAUAUGACGUUUUCUGGCAGUACACAAUGCCAAAAACGUCUUAUAUUAUGGGAGAGAAGCGAGUUUGUGAUUCUUUUGGUUAUUCUUGAUUCCACAUGCUUCAUUUGGGUGAAUAAUCCAUUGGCAUCCAAAUUUGGAGAUUAAUUCACCUAUGUAAUGUGCAUAAUCAAUGACACAUUUUUGCUAUGAUGAAUAUGUAAAUAAAUUUUGUACAAUUCCAUAAAUACACAGUUAAGCAUUUUUGUUGUAAAGAUAAUGUAGAUAAUUUUUUAUAGCUUUGCAAAUAAGAUUAACCUUGGUGUAUAAAUCCGAUCAGAGUAGAGGUAGCUAUGCAAUGGUCUUGCGACACAUCAUUAGUCUAAGGCUCUAACCACAUUCAUGGAGAAUCUAACAUCCCAACUACGCAUAUCUGUUUGUUCCAGAAGCCACGAAAUUGAGGUACGCAGAAGAUGAACAAACCUGAGAACUGAUGAUCCAAAGAAGAGUCGGAGCUCGAGCAUCACAUAGCUGUCAGCUAUGGUGGCUUGUAGGCGGAUGUGUUUCACACCUAAGUUUUUGCCGCUGGACCAUGGUUACGUUCAUCCUAGCUUGGAGGCAACGGUGUGGGUGGGUAUGCAUGUGCAAGGCGAAGAAGUGGACGAAGGCCGAAGAAGCAAUCUCUGCCUCCCUAUCGCUGCGUCCUGCUCCUCAAUAUGUCACCUUAGUCAUGGCCGCCUUAUCCCUCAUGCUGCUGAUUUGAAUCUGCCCUACUCUUCUUCUCCUAGACUGCUCGAGCGCUUCAGCGGGUGCCUUGCGGACGACAGGGAAGGAAGGACCAGAGUAAGUAUAAUAUGGAAGUUCCUGUUCAAAUUAGUAGAAUAUGCUUACCAGGGGUUAGAAUUUAUAGAUAUAUACCACAAUUUUCACUACAGAUUAAAUAUAAUAUGAAAGUUCUUGUCAGUUUUCUUUGUAGUUAGUUUGCGACAAUCAAAACAUGAUCAUUUGAAUAUUUUGUUGUAACAAAUCUAUUAUAGCUAUUGUUGUGAAAGAAAAAUCCUUAAAAAAUCACCCAAUAGCAACCCGAGGAAGUUAAGAGACAUAAAUGAUCCAGAUAUGGUUCCAUUAUGCUCCCUCUGUUCGAUAAUAUAUGACGUUUUCUGGCAGUACACAAUGCCAAAAACGUCUUAUAUUAUGGGACAGAAGCGAGUUUGUGAUUUUUUUGGUUAUUCUUGAUUCCACAUGCUUCAUUUGGGUGAAUAAUCCAUUGGCAUCCAAAUUUGGAGAUUAAUUCACCUAUGUAAUGUGCAUAAUCAAUGACACAUUUUUGCUAUGAUGAAUAUGUAAAUAAAUUUUGUACAAUUCCAUAAAUACACAGUUAAGCAUUUUUGUUGUAAAGAUAAUGUAGAUAAUUUUUUAUAGCUUUGCAAAUAAGAUUAACCUUGGUGUAUAAAUCCGAUCAGAGUAGAGGUAGCUAUGCAAUGGUCUUGCGUCACAUCAUUAGUCUAAAGCUCUAACCACAUUCAUGGAGAAUCUAACAUCCCAACUACGCAUAUCUGUUUGUUCCAGAAGCCACGAAAUUGAGGUACGCAGAAGAUGAACAAACCUGAGAACUGAUGAUCCAAAGAAGAGUCGGAGCUCGAGCAUCACAUAGCUGUCAGCUAUGGUGGCUUGUAGGCGGAUGUGUCUCACACCUAAGUUUUUGCCGCUGGACCGUGGUUACGUUCAUCCUAGCUUGGAGGCAACGGUGUGGGUGGGUAUGCAUGUGCAAGGCGAAGAAGUGGACGACGGCCGAAGAAGCAAUCUCUGCCUCCCUAUCGCUGCGUCCUGCUCCUCAAUAUGUCACCUUAGUCAUGGCCGCCUUAUCCCUCAUGCUGCUGAUUUGAAUCUGCCCUACUCUUCUUCUCCUAGACUGCUCGAGCGCUUCAGCGGGUGCCUUGCCGACGACAGGGAAGGAAGGACCAGAGUAAGUACAAUAUGGAAGUUCCUGUUCAAAUUAGUAGAAUAUGCUUACUAGGUGUUAGAAUUUAUAGAUAUAUACCACAAUUUUCACUACAGAUUAAAUAUAAUAUGAAAGUUCUUGUUAGUUUUCUUUGUAGUUAGUUUGCGACAAUCACAACAUGACCAUUUGAAUAUUUUGUUGUAACAAAUCUAUUAUAGCUAUUGUUGUGAAAGAAAAAUCCUUAAAAAAUCACCCAAUAGCAACCCGAGGAAGUUAAGAGACAUAAAUGAUCCAGAUAUGGUUCCAUUAUGCUCCCUCUGUUCGAUAAUAUAUGACGUUUUCUGGCAGUACACAAUGCCAAAAACGUCUUAUAUUAUGGGACAGAAGCGAGUUUGUGAUUAUUUUCGGUUAUUCUUGAUUCCACAUGCUUCAUUUGGGUGAAUAAUCCAUUGGCAUCCAAAUUUGGAGAUUAAUUCACCUAUGUAAUGUGCAUAAUCAAUGACACAUUUUUGCUAUGAUGAAUAUGUAAAUAAAUUUUGUACAAUUCCAUAAAUACAUAGUUAAGAAUUUUUGUUGUAAAGAUAAUGUAGAUAAUUUUUUAUAGCUUUGCAAAUAAGAUUAACCUUGGUGUAUAAAUCCGAUCAGAGUAGAGGUAGCUAUGCAAUGGUCUUGCGUCACAUCAUUAGUCUAAGGCUCUAACCACAUUCAUGGAGAAUCUAACAUCUCAACUACGCAUAUCUGUUUGUUGCAGAAGCCACGAAAUUGAGGUACGCAGAAGAUGAACAAACCUGAGAACUGAUGAUCCAAAGAAGAGUCGGAGCUCGAGCAUCACAUAGCUGUCAGCUACGGUGGAUUGUAGGCGGAUGUGUCUCAGACCUAUGUUUUUGCCGCUGGACCGUGGUUACGUUCAUCCUAGCUUGGAGGCAACGGUGUGGGUGGGUAUGCAUGUGCAAGGCGAAGAAGUGGACGAAGGCUGAAGAAGCAAUCUCUGCCUCCCUAUCGCUGCGUCCUGCUCCUCAAUAUGUCACCUUAGUCAUGGCCGCCUUAUCCCUCAUGCUGCUGAUUUGAAUCUGCCCUAAUCUUCUUCUCCUAGACUGCUCGAGCGCUUCAGCGGGUGCCUUGCCGACGACAGGGAAGGAAGGACCAGAGUAAGUAUAAUAUGGAAGUUCCUGUUCAAAUUAGUAGAAUAUGCUUACCAGGUGUUAGAAUUUAUAGAUAUAUACCACAAUUUUCACUACAGAUUAAAUAUAAUAUGAAAGUUCUUGUCAGUUUUCUUUGUAGUUAGUUUGCGACAAUCACAACAUGAUCAUUUGAAUAUUUUGUUGUAACAAAUCUAUUAUAGCUAUUGUUGUGAAAGAAAAAUCCUUAAAAAAUCACCCAAUAGCAACCCAAGGAAGUUAAGAGACAUAAAUGAUCAGAAUAUGGUUCCAUUAUGCUCCCUCUGUUCGAUAAUAUAUGACGUUUUCUGGCAGUACACAAUGCCAAAAACGUCUUAUAUUAUGGGACAGAAGCGAGUUUGUGAUUUUUUUGGUUAUUCUUGAUUCCACAUGCUUCAUUUGGGUGAAUAAUCCAUUGGCAUCCAAAUUUGGAGAUUAAUUCACCUAUGUAAUGUGCAUAAUCAAUGACACAUUUUUGCUAUGAUGAAUAUGUAAAUAAAUUUUGUACAAUUCCAUAAAUACACAGUUAAGCAUUUUUGUUGUAAAGAUAAUGUAGAUAAUUUUUUAUAGCUUUGCAAAUAAGAUUAACCUUGGUGUAUAAAUCCGAUCAGAGUAGAGGUAGCUAUGCAAUGGUCUUGCGUCACAUCAUUAGUCCAAGGCUCUAAGCACAUUCAUGGAGAAUCUAACAUCCCAACUACGCAUAUCUGUUUGUUCCAGAAGCCACGAAAUUGAGGUACGCAGAAGAUGAACAAACCUGAGAACUGAUGAUCCAAAGAAGAGUCGGAGCUCGAGCAUCACAUAGCUGUCAGCUAUGGUGGCUUGUAGGCGGAUGUGUCUCACACCUAAGUUUUUGCCGCUGGACCGUGGUUACGUUCAUCCUAGCUUGGAGGCAACGGUGUGGGUGGGUAUGCAUGUGCAAGGCGAAGAAGUGGACGAAGGCCGAAGAAGCAAUCUCUGCCUCCCUAUCGCUGCGUCCUGCUCCUCAAUAUGUCACCUUAGUCAUGGCCGCCUUAUCCCUCAUGCUGCUGAUUUGAAUCUGCCCUACUCUUCUUCUCCUAGACUGCUCGAGCGCUUCAGCGGGUGCCUUGCCGACGACAGGGAAGGAAGGACCAGAGUAAGUAUAAUAUGGAAGUUCCUGUUCAAAUUAGUAGAAUAUGCUUACUAGGUGUUAGAAUUUAUAGAUAUAUACCACAAUUUUCACUACAGAUUAAAUAUAAUAUGAAAGUUCUUGUUAGUUUUCUUUGUAGUUAGUUUGCGACAAUCACAACAUGACCAUUUGAAUAUUUUGUUGUAACAAAUCUAUUAUAGCUAUUGUUGUGAAAGAAAAAUCCUUAAAAAAUCACCCAAUAGCAACCCGAGGAAGUUAAGAGACAUAAAUGAUCCAGAUAUGGUUCCAUUAUGCUCCCUCUGUUCGAUAAUAUAUGACGUUUUCUGGCAGUACACAAUGCCAAAAACGUCUUAUAUUAUGGGACAGAAGCGAGUUUGUGAUUAUUUUCGGUUAUUCUUGAUUCCACAUGCUUCAUUUGGGUGAAUAAUCCAUUGGCAUCCAAAUUUGGAGAUUAAUUCACCUAUGUAAUGUGCAUAAUCAAUGACACAUUUUUGCUAUGAUGAAUAUGUAAAUAAAUUUUGUACAAUUCCAUAAAUACAUAGUUAAGAAUUUUUGUUGUAAAGAUAAUGUAGAUAAUUUUUUAUAGCUUUGCAAAUAAGAUUAACCUUGGUGUAUAAAUCCGAUCAGAGUAGAGGUAGCUAUGCAAUGGUCUUGCGUCACAUCAUUAGUCUAAGGCUCUAACCACAUUCAUGGAGAAUCUAACAUCUCAACUACGCAUAUCUGUUUGUUGCAGAAGCCACGAAAUUGAGGUACGCAGAAGAUGAACAAACCUGAGAACUGAUGAUCCAAAGAAGAGUCGGAGCUCGAGCAUCACAUAGCUGUCAGCUACGGUGGAUUGUAGGCGGAUGUGUCUCAGACCUAUGUUUUUGCCGCUGGACCGUGGUUACGUUCAUCCUAGCUUGGAGGCAACGGUGUGGGUGGGUAUGCAUGUGCAAGGCGAAGAAGUGGACGAAGGCUGAAGAAGCAAUCUCUGCCUCCCUAUCGCUGCGUCCUGCUCCUCAAUAUGUCACCUUAGUCAUGGCCGCCUUAUCCCUCAUGCUGCUGAUUUGAAUCUGCCCUAAUCUUCUUCUCCUAGACUGCUCGAGCGCUUCAGCGGGUGCCUUGCCGACGACAGGGAAGGAAGGACCAGAGUAAGUAUAAUAUGGAAGUUCCUGUUCAAAUUAGUAGAAUAUGCUUACCAGGUGUUAGAAUUUAUAGAUAUAUACCACAAUUUUCACUACAGAUUAAAUAUAAUAUGAAAGUUCUUGUCAGUUUUCUUUGUAGUUAGUUUGCGACAAUCACAACAUGAUCAUUUGAAUAUUUUGUUGUAACAAAUCUAUUAUAGCUAUUGUUGUGAAAGAAAAAUCCUUAAAAAAUCACCCAAUAGCAACCCAAGGAAGUUAAGAGACAUAAAUGAUCAGAAUAUGGUUCCAUUAUGCUCCCUCUGUUCGAUAAUAUAUGACGUUUUCUGGCAGUACACAAUGCCAAAAACGUCUUAUAUUAUGGGACAGAAGCGAGUUUGUGAUUUUUUUGGUUAUUCUUGAUUCCACAUGCUUCAUUUGGGUGAAUAAUCCAUUGGCAUCCAAAUUUGGAGAUUAAUUCACCUAUGUAAUGUGCAUAAUCAAUGACACAUUUUUGCUAUGAUGAAUAUCUAAAUAAAUUUUGUGCAAUUCCAUAAAUACACAGUUAAGCAUUUUUGUUGUAAAGAUAAUGUAGAUAAUUUUUUAUAGCUUUGCAAAUAAGAUUAACCUUGGUGUAUAAAUCCGAUCAGAGUAGAGGUAGCUAUGCAAUGGUCUUGCGUCACAUCAUUAGUCUAAGGCUCUAACCACAUUCAUGCAGAAUCUAACAUCCCAACUACGCAUAUCUGUUUGUUCCAGAAGCCAAGAAAUUGAGGUACGCAGAAGAUGAACAAUCCUGAGAAUUGAUGAUCGAAUGAAGAGUCGGAGCUCGAGCAUCACAUAGCCGUCAGCUAUGGUGGCUUGUGGGCGGAUGUUUCUCAGAACUAAGUUGUUGCCGCUGGACCGUGGUUACAUUCAUCCUAGCUUGGAGGAAAGGUGCGGGAAGAUAUGCAUGUGCAGGGCGAAGAAGUGGACGAAGGCCGAAGUAGCAAUCUCUGCCUCCCUAUCGCUGCGUCCUGCUCCUCAAUAUGUCACCUUAGUCAUGGCCGCCUUAUCCCUCAUGCUGCUGAUUUGAAUCUGCCCUACUCUUCUUCUCCUAGACUGCUCGAGCAGCGGGUGCCUUGCCGACGACAGGGAAGGAAGGACCAGAGUAAGUAUAAUAUGGAAGUUCCUGUUCAAAUUAGUAGAAUAUGCUUACCAGGGGUUAGAAUUUAUAGAUAUAUACCACAAUUUUCACUACAGAUUAAAUAUAAUAUGAAAGUUCUUGUCAGUUUUCUUUGUAGUUAGUUUGCGACAAUCACAACAUGAUCAUUUGAAUAUUUUGUUGUAACAAAUCUAUUAUAGCUAUUGUUGUGAAAGAAAAAUCCUUAAAAAAUCACCCAAUAGCAACCCGAGGAAGUUAAGAGACAUAAAUGAUCCAGAUAUGGUUCCAUUAUGCUCCCUCUGUUUGAUAAUAUAUGACGUUUUCUGGCAGUACACAAUGCCAAAAACGUCUUAUAUUAUGGGACAGAAGCGAGUUUGUGAUUCUUUUGGUUAUUCUUGAUUCCACAUGCUUCAUUUGGGUGAAUAAUCCAUUGGCAUCCAAAUUUGGAGAUUAAUUCACCUAUGUAAUGUGCAUAAUCAAUGACACAUUUUUGCUAUGAUGAAUAUGUAAAUAAAUUUUGUACAAUUCCAUAAAUACACAGUUAAGCAUUUUUGUUGUAAAGAUAAUGUAGAUAAUUUUUUAUAGCUUUGCAAAUAAGAUUAACCUUGGUGUAUAAAUCCGAUCAGAGUAGAGGUAGCUAUGCAAUGGUCUUGCGUCACAUCAUUAGUCUAAGGCUCUAACCACAUUCAUGGAGAAUCUAACAUCCCAACUACGCAUAUCUGUUUGUUCCAGAAGCCACGAAAUUGAGGUACGCAGAAGAUGAACAAACCUGAGAAUUGAUGAUCGAAUGAAGAGUCGGAGCUCGAGCAUCACAUAGNNNNNNNNNNNNNNNNNNNNNNNNNNNNNNNNNNNNNNNNNNNNNNNNNNNNNNNNNNNNNNNNNNNNNNNNNNNNNNNNNNNNNNNNNNNNNNNNNNNNAGUGGACGAAGGCUGAAGAAGCAAUCUCUGCCUCCCUAUCGCUGCGUCCUGCUCCUCAAUAUGUCACCUUAGUCAUGGCCGCCUUAUCCCUCAUGCUGCUGAUUUGAAUCUGCCCUACUCUUCUUCUCCUAGACUGCUCGAGCGCUUCAGCGGGUGCCUUGCCGACGACAGGGAAGGAAGGACCAGAGUAAGUAUAAUAUGGAAGUUCCUGUUCAAAUUAGUAGAAUAUGCUUACCAGGUGUUAGAAUUUAUAGAUAUAUACCACAAUUUUCACUACAGAUUAAAUAUAAUAUGAAAGUUCUUGUCAGUUUUCUUUGUAGUUAGUUUGCGACAAUCACAACAUGAUCAUUUGAAUAUUUUGUUGUAACAAAUCUAUUAUAGCUAUUGUUGUGAAAGAAAAAUCCUUAAAAAAUCACCCAAUAGCAACCCGAGGAAGUUAAGAGACAUAAAUGAUCCAGAUAUGGUUCCAUUAUGCUCCCUCUGUUUGAUAAUAUAUGAAGUUUUCUGCCAGUACACAAUGCCAAAAACGUCUUAUAUUAUGGGACAGAAGCGAGUUUGUGAUUUUUUUGGUUAUUCUAGAUUCCACAUGCUUCAUUUGGGUGAAUAAUCCAUUGGCAUCCAAAUUUGGAGAUUAAUUCACCUAUGUAAUGUGCAUAAUCAAUGACACAUUUUUGCUUUGAUGAAUAUGUAAAUAAAUUUUGUACAAUUCCAUAAAUACACAGUUAAGCAUUUUUGUUGUAAAGAUAAUGUAGAUAAUUUUUUAUAGCUUUGCAAAUAAGAUUAACCUUGGUGUAUAAAUCCGAUCAGAGUAGAGGUAGCUAUGCAAUGGUCUUGCGUCACAUCAUUAGUCUAAGGCUCUAACCACAUUCAUGGAGAAUCUAACAUCCCAACUACGCAUAUCUGUUUGUUCCAGAAGCCACGAAAUUGAGGUACGCAGAAGAUGAAGAAACCUGAGAAUUGAUGAUCGAAUGAAGAGUCGGAGCUCGAGCAUCACAUAGUCGUCAGCUAUGGUGGCUUGUGGGCGGAUGUUUCUCAGACCUAAGUUGUUGCCGCUGGACCGUGGUUACAUUCAUCCUAGCUUGGAGGAAAUGGUGCGGGAAGAUAUGCAUGUGCUGGGCGAAGAAGUGGACGAAGGCCGAAGUAGCAAUCUCUGCCUCCCUAUCGCUGCGUCCUGCUCCUCACUAUGUCACCUUAGUCAUUGCCGCCUUAUCCCUCAUGCUGCUGAUGUGAAUCUGCCCUACUCUUCUUCUCCUAGACUGCUCGAGCGCUUCAGCGGGUGCCUUGCCGACGACAGGGAAGGAAGGACCAGAGUAAGUAUAAUAUGGAAGUUCCUGUUCAAAUUAGUAGAAUAUGCUUACCAGGUGUUAGAAUUUAUAGAUAUAUACCACAAUUUUCACUACAGAUUAAAUAUAAUAUGAAAGUUCUUGUCAGUUUUCUUUGUAGUUAGUUUGCGAAAAUCACAACAUGAUCAUUUGAAUAUUUUGUUGUAACAAAUCUAUUAUAGCUAUUGUUGUGAAAGAAAAAGCCUUAAAAAAUCACCCAAUAGCAACCCGAGGAAGUUAAGAGACAUAAAUGAUCCAGAUAUGGUUCCAUUAUGCUCCCUCUGUUCGAUAAUAUAUGACGUUUUCUGGCAGUACACAAUGCCAAAAACGUCUUAUAUUAUGGGACAGAAGCGAGUUUGUGAUUCUUUUGGUUAUUCUUGAUUCCACAUGCUUCAUUUGGGUGAAUAAUCCAUUGGCAUCCAAAUUUGGAGAAUAAUUCACCUAUUUAAUGUGCAUAAUCAAUGACACAUUUUUGCUAUGAUGAAUAUGUAAAUAAAUUUUGUACAAUUCCAUAAAUACACAGUUAAGCGUUUUUGUUGUAAAGAUAAUGUAGAUAAUUUUUAUAGCUUUGCAAAUAAGAUUAACCUUGGUGUAUAAAUCGGAUCAGAGUAGAGGUAGCUAUGCAAUGGUCUUGCGUCACAUCAUUAGUCUAAGGCUCUAACCACAUUCAUGGAGAAUCUAACAUCCCAACUAUGCAUAUCUGUUUGUUCCGGAAGCCAAGAAAUUGAGGGACGCAGAAGAUGAACAAAGCUGAGAAUUGAUGAUCGAAUGAAGAGUCGGAGCUCGAGCAUCACAUAGCCGUCAGCUAUGGUGGCUUGUGGGCGGAUGUUUCUCAGACCUAAGUUGUUGCCGCUGGACCGUGGUUACAUUCAUCCUAGCUUGGAGGAAAUGGUGCGGGAAGAUAUGCAUGUGCAGGGCGAAGAAGUGGACGAAGGCCGAAGUAGCAAUCUCUGCCUCCCUAUCGCUGCGUCCUUCUCCUCAAUAUGUCACCUUAGUCAUGGCCGCCUUAUCCCUCAUGCUGCUGAUUUGAAUCUGCCCUACUCUUCUUCUCCUAGACUGCUCGAGCGCUUCAGCGGGUGCCUUCCCAACGACAGGGAAGGAAGGACCAGAGUAAGUAUAAUAUGGAAGUUCUUGUUCAAAUUAGUAGAAUAUGCUUACCAGGUGUUAGAAUUUAUAGAUAUAUACCACAAUUUUCACUACAGAUUAAAUAUAAUAUGAAAGUUCUUGUCAGUUUUCUUUGUAGUUAGUUUGCGACAAUCACAACAUGAUCAUUUGAAUAUUUUGUUGUAACAAAUCUAUUAUAGCUAUUGUUGUGAAAGAAAAAUCCUUAAAAAAUCACCCAAUAGCAACCCGAGGAAGUUAAGAGACAUAAAUGAUCCAGAUAUGGUUCCAUUAUGCUCCCUCUGUUCGAUAAUAUAUGACGUUUUCUGGCAGUACACAAUGCCAAAAACGUCUUAUAUUAUGGGACAGAAGCGAGUUUGUGAUUUUUUUGGUUAUUCUUGAUUCCACAUGCUUCAUUUGGGUGAAUAAUCCAUUGGCAUCCAAAUUUGGAGAUUAAUUCACCUAUGUAAUGUGCAUAAUCAAUGACACAUUUUUGCUAUGAUGAAUAUGUAAAUAAAUUUUGUACAAUUCCAUAAAUACACAGUUAAGCAUUUUUGUUGUAAAGAUAAUGUAGAUAAUUUUUUAUAGCUUUGCAAAUAAGAUUAACCUUGGUGUAUAAAUCCGAUCAGAGUAGACGUAGCUAUGGAAUGGUCUUGCGUCACAUCAUUAGUCUAAGGCUCUAACCACAUUCAUGGAGAAUCUAACAUCCCAACUACGCAUAUCUGUUUGUUCCAGAAGCCAAGAAAUUGAGGUACGCAGAAGAUGAACAAACCUGAGAAUUGAUGAUCGAAUGAAGAGUCGGAGCUCGAGCAUCACAUAGCCGUCAGCUAUGGUGGCUUGUGGGCGGAUGUUUCUCAGACCUAAGUUGUUGCCGCUGGACCGUGGUUACAUUCAUCCUAGCUUGGAGGAAAUGGUGCGGGAAGAUAUGCAUGUGCAGGGCGAAGAAGUGGACGAAGGCCGAAGUAGCAAUCUCUGCCUCCCUAUCGCUGCGUCCUGCUCCUCAAUAUGUCACCUUAGUCAUGGCCGCCUUAUCCCUCAUGCUGCUGAUUUGAAUCUGCCCUACUCUUCUUCUCCUAGACUGCUCGAGCGCUUCAGCGGGUGCCUUGCCGACGACAGGGAAGGAAGGACCAGAGUAAGUAUAAUAUGGAAGUUCCUAUUCAAAUUAGUAGAAUAUGCUUACCAGGUGUUAGAAUUUAUAGAUAUAUACCACAAUUUUCACUACAGAUUAAAUAUAAUAUGAAAGUUCUUGUCAGUUUUCUUUGUAGUUAGUUUGCGACAAUCACAACAUGAUCAUUUGAAUAUUUUGUUGUAACAAAUCUAUUAUAGCUAUUGUUGUGAAAGAAAAAUCCUUAAAAAAAUCACCCAAUAGCAACCCGAGGAAGUUAAGAGACAUAAAUGAUCCAGAUAUGGUUCCAUUAUGCUCCCUCUGUUCGAUAAUAUAUGACGUUUUCUGGCAGUACACAAUGCCAAAAACGUCUUAUAUUAUGGGACAGAAGCGAGUUUGUGAUUUUUUUGGUUAUUCUUGAUUCCACAUGCUUCAUUUGGGUGAAUAAUCCAUUGGCAUCCAAAUUUGGAGAUUAAUUCACCUAUGUAAUGUGCAUAAUCAAUGACACAUUUUUGCUAUGAUGAAUAUGUAAAUAAAUUUUGUACAAUUCCAUAAAUACACAGUUAAGCAUUUUUGUUGUAAAGAUAAUGUAGAUAAUUUUUUAUAGCUUUGCAAAUAAGAUUAACCUUGGUGUAUAAAUCCGAUCAGAGUAGAGGUAGCUAUGCAAUGGUCUUGCGUCACAUCAUUAGUCUAAGGCUCUAACCACAUUCAUGGAGAAUCUAACAUCCCAACUACGCAUAUCUGUUUGUUCCAGAAGCCAAGAAAUUGAGGUACGCAGAAGAUGAACAAACCUGAGAAUUGAUGAUCGAAUGAAGAGUCGGAGCUCGAGCAUCACAUAGCCGUCAGCUAUGGUGGCUUGUGGGCGGAUGUUUCUCAGACCUAAGUUGUUGCCGCUGGACCGUGGUUACAUUCAUCCUAGCUUGGAGGAAAUGGUGCGGGAAGAUAUGCAUGUGCAGGGCGAAGAAGCGGACGAAGGCCGAAGUAGCAAUCUCUGCCUCCCUAUCGCUGCGUCCUGCUCCUCAAUAUGUCACCUUAGUCAUGGCCGCCUUAUCCCUCAUGCUGCUGAUUUGAAUCUGCCCUACUCUUCUUCUCCUAGACUGCUCGAGCGCUUCAGCGGGUGCCUUGCCGACGACAGGGAAGGAAGGACCAGAGUAAGUAUAAUAUGGAAGUUCCUGUUCAAAUUAGUAGAAUAUGCUUACCAGGUGUUAGAAUUUAUAGAUAUAUACCACAAUUUUCACUACAGAUUAAAUAUAAUAUGAAAGUUCUUGUCAGUUUUCUUUGUAGUUAGUUUGCGACAAUCACAACAUGAUCAUUUGAAUAUUUUGUUGUAACAAAUCUAUUAUAGCUAUUGUUGUGAAAGAAAAAUCCUUAAAAAAAUCACCCAAUAGCAACCCGAGGAAGUUAAGAGACAUAAAUGAUCCAGAUAUGGUUCCAUUAUGCUCCCUCUGUUCGAUAAUAUUUGACGUUUUCUGGCAGUACACAAUGCCAAAAACGUCUUAUAUUAUGGGACAGAAGCGAGUUUGUGAUUUUUUUGGUUAUUCUUGAUUCCACAUGCUUCAUUUGGGUGAAUAAUCCAUUGGCAUCCAAAUUUGGAGAUUAAUUCACCUAUGUAAUGUGCAUAAUCAAUGACACAUUUUUGCUAUGAUGAAUAUGUAAAUAAAUUUUGUACAAUUCCAUAAAUACACAGUUAAGCAUUUUUGUUGUAAAGAUAAUGUAGAUAAUUUUUUAUAGCUUUGCAAAUAAGAUUAACCUUGGUGUAUAAAUCCGAUCAGAGUAGAGGUAGCUAUGCAAUGGUCUUGCGUCACAUCAUUAGUCUAAGGCUCUAACCACAUUCAUGGAGAAUCUAACAUCCCAACUACGCAUAUCUGUUUGUUCCAGAAGCCACGAAAUUGAGGUACGCAGAAGAUGAAGAAACCUGAGAAUUGAUGAUCGAAUGAAGAGUCGGAGCUCGAGCAUCACAUAGUCGUCAGCUAUGGUGGCUUGUGGGCGGAUGUUUCUCAGACCUAAGUUGUUGCCGCUGGACCGUGGUUACAUUCAUCCUAGCUUGGAGGAAACGGUGUGGGUGGGUAUGCAUGUGCAGGGCGAAGAAGUGGACGAAGGCCGAAGAAGCAAUCUCUGCCUCCCUAUCGCUGCGUCCUGCUCCUCAAUAUGUCACCUUAGUCAUGGCCGCCUUAUCCCUCAUGCUGCUGAUUUGAAUCUGCCCUACUCUUCUUCUCCUAGACUGCUCGAGCGCUUCAGUGGGUGCCUUGCCGACGACAGGGAAGGAAGGACCAGAGUAAGUAUAAUAUGGAAGUUCCUGUUCAAAUUAGUAGAAUAUGCUUACCAGGGGUUAGAAUUUAUAGAUAUAUACCACAAUUUUCACUACAGAUUAAAUAUAAUAUGAAAGUUCUUGUCAGUUUUCUUUGUAGUUAGUUUGCGACAAUCACAACAUGAUCAUUUGAAUAUUUUGUUGUAACAAAUCUAUUAUAGCUAUUGUUGUGAAAGAAAAAUCCUUAAAAAAUCACCCAAUAGCAACCCGAGGAAGUUAAGAGACAUAAAUGAUCCAGAUAUGGUUCCAUUAUGCUCCCUCUGUUCGAUAAUAUAUGACGUUUUCUGGCAGUACACAAUGCCAAAAACGUCUUAUAUUAUGGGACAGAAGCGAGUUUGUGAUUCUUUUGGUUAUUCUUGAUUCCACAUGCUUCAUUUGGGUGAAUAAUCCAUUGGCAUCCAAAUUUGGAGAUUAAUUCACCUAUGUAAUGUGCAUAAUCAAUGACACAUUUUUGCUAUGAUGAAUAUGUAAAUAAAUUUUGUACAAUUCCAUAAAUACACAGUUAAGCAUUUUUGUUGUAAAGAUAAUGUAGAUAAUUUUUUAUAGCUUUGCAAAUAAGAUUAACCUUGGUGUAUAAAUCCGAUCAGAGUAGAGGUAGCUAUGCAAUGGUCUUGCAUCACAUCAUUAGUCUAAAGCUCUAACCACAUUCAUGGAGAAUCUAACAUCCCAACUACGCAUAUCUGUUUGUUCCAGAAGCCACGAAAUUGAGGUACGCAGAAGAUGAACAAACCUGAGAACUGAUGAUCCAAAGAAGAGUCGGAGCUCGAGCAUCACAUAGUCGUCAGCUAUGGUGGCUUGUAGGCGGAUGUGUCUCACACCUAAGUUUUUGCCGCUGGACCGUGGUUACGUUCAUCCUAGCUUGGAGGCAACGGUGUGGGUGGGUAUGCAUGUGCAGGGCGAAGAAGUGGACGAAGGCCGAAGAAGCAAUCUCUGCCUCCCUAUCGCUGCGUCCUGCUCCUCAAUAUGUCACCUUAGUCAUGGCCGCCUUAUCCCUCAUGCUGCUGAUUUGAAUCUGCCCUACUCUUCUUCUCCUAGACUGCUCGAGCGCUUCAGCGGGUGCCUUGCCGACGACAGGGAAGGAAGGACCAGAGUAAGUAUAAUAUGGAAGUUCCUGUUCAAAUUAGUAGAAUAUGCUUACCAGGUGUUAGAAUUUAUAGAUAUAUACCACAAUUUUCACUACAGAUUAAAUAUAAUAUGAAAGUUCUUGUCAGUUUUCUUUGUAGUUAGUUUGCGACAAUCACAACAUGAUCAUUUGAAUAUUUUGUUGUAACAAAUCUAUUAUAGCUAUUGUUGUGAAAGAAAAAUCCUUAAAAAAUCACCCAAUAGCAACCCGAGGAAGUUAAGAGACAUAAAUGAUCCAGAUAUGGUUCCAUUAUGCUCCCUCUGUUUGAUAAUAUAUGACGUUUUCUGGCAGUACACAAUGCCAAAAACGUCUUAUAUUAUGGGACAGAAGCGAGUUUGUGAUUCUUUUGGUUAUUCUUGAUUCCACAUGCUUCAUUUGGGUGAAUAAUCCAUUGGCAUCCAAAUUUGGAGAUUAAUUCACCUAUUUAAUGUGCAUAGUCAAUGACACAUUUUUGCUAUGAUGAAUAUGUAAAUAAAUUUUGUACAAUUCCAUAAAUACACAGUUAAGCGUUUUUGUUGUAAAGAUAAUGUAGAUAAUUUUUAUAGCUUUGCAAAUAAGAUUAACCUUGGUGUAUAAAUCCGAUCAGAGUAGAGGUAGCUAUGCAAUGGUCUUGCGUCACAUCAUUAGUCUAAGGCUCUAACCACAUUCAUGGAGAAUCUAACAUCCCAACUACGCAUAUCUGUUUGUUCCGGAAGCCAAGAAAUUGAGGGACGCAGAAGAUGAACAAACCUGAGAAUUGAUGAUCGAAUGAAGAGUCGGAGCUCGAGCAUCACAUAGCCGUCAGCUAUGGUGGCUUGUGGGCGGAUGUUUCUCAGACCUAAGUUGUUGCCGCUGGACCGUGGUUACAUUCAUCCUAGCUUGGAGGAAACGGUGCGGGAAGAUAUGCAUGUGCAGGGCGAAGAAGUGGACGAAGGCCGAAGUAGCAAUCUCUGCCUCCCUAUCGCUGCGUCCUUCUCCUCAAUAUGUCACCUUAGUCAUGGCCGCCUUAUCCCUCAUGCUGCUGAUUUGAAUCUGCCCUACUCUUCUUCUCCUAGACUGCUCGAGCGCUUCAGCGGGUGCCUUCCCAACGACAGGGAAGGAAGGACCAGAGUAAGUAUAAUAUGGAAGUUCCUGUUCAAAUUAGUAGAAUAUGCUUACCAGGUGUUAGAAUUUAUAGAUAUAUACCACAAUUUUCACUACAGAUUAAAUAUAAUAUGAAAGUUCUUGUCAGUUUUCUUUGUAGUUAGUUUGCGACAAUCACAACAUGAUCAUUUGAAUAUUUUGUUGUAACAAAUCUAUUAUAGCUAUUGUUGUGAAAGAAAAAUCCUUAAAAAAUCACCCAAUAGCAACCCGAGGAAGUUAAGAGACAUAAAUGAUCCAGAUAUGGUUCCAUUAUGCUCCCUCUGUUCGAUAAUAUAUGACGUUUUCUGGCAGUACACAAUGCCAAAAACGUCUUAUAUUAUGGGACAGAAGCGAGUUUGUGAUUUUUUUGGUUAUUCUAGAUUCCACAUGCUUCAUUUGGGUGAAUAAUCCAUUGGCAUCCAAAUUUGGAGAUUAAUUCACCUAUGUAAUGUGCAUAAUCAAUGACACAUUUUUGCUAUGAUGAAUAUGUAAAUAAAUUUUGUACAAUUCCAUAAAUACACAGUUAAGCAUUUUUGUUGUAAAGAUAAUGUAGAUAAUUUUUUAUAGCUUUGCAAAUAAGAUUAACCUUGGUGUAUAAAUCCGAUCAGAGUAGAGGUAGCUAUGCAAUGGUCUUGCAUCACAUCAUUAGUCUAAGGCUCUAACCACAUUCAUGGAGAAUCUAACAUCCCAACUACGCAUAUCUGUUUGUUCCAGAAGCCAAGAAAUUGAGGUACGCAGAAGAUGAACAAACCUGAGAACUGAUGAUCGAAUGAAGAGUCGGAGCUCGAGCAUCACAUAGCCGUCAGCUAUGGUGGCUUGUGGGCGGAUGUUUCUCAGACCUAAGUUGUUGUCGCUGGACCGUGGUUACAUUCAUCCUAGCUUGGAGGCAACGGUGUGGGUGGGUAUGCAUGUGCAGGGCGAAGAAGUGGACGAAGGCCGAAGAAGCAAUCUCUGCCUCCCUAUCGCUGCGUCCUGCUCCUCAAUAUGUCACCUUAGUCAUGGCCGCCUUAUCCCUCAUGCUGCUGAUUUGAAUCUGCCCUACUCUUCUUCUCCUAGACUGCUCGAGCGCUUCAGCGGGUGCCUUGCCGACGACAGGGAAGGAAGGACCAGAGUAAGUAUAAUAUGGAAGUUCCUGUUCAAAUUAGUAGAAUAUGCUUACCAGGUGUUAGAAUUUAUAGAUAUAUACCACAAUUUUCACUACAGAUUAAAUAUAAUAUGAAAGUUCUUGUCAGUUUUCUUUGUAGUUAGUUUGCGAAAAUCACAACAUGAUCAUUUGAAUAUUUUGUUGUAACAAAUCUAUUAUAGCUAUUGUUGUGAAAGAAAAAGCCUUAAAAAAUCACCCAAUAGCAACCCGAGGAAGUUAAGAGACAUAAAUGAUCCACAUAUGGUUCCAUUAUGCUCCCUCUGUUCGAUAAUAUAUGACGUUUUCUGGCAGUACACAAUGCCAAAAACGUCUUAUAUUAUGGGACAGAAGCGAGUUUGUGAUUCUUUUGGUUAUUCUUGAUUCCACAUGCUUCAUUUGGGUGAAUAAUCCAUUGGCAUCCAAAUUUGGAGAUUAAUUCACCUAUUUAAUGUGCAUAAUCAAUGACACAUUUUUGCUAUGAUGAAUAUGUAAAUAAAUUUUGUACAAUUCCAUAAAUACACAGUUAAGCGUUUUUGUUGUAAAGAUAAUGUAGAUAAUUUUUAUAGCUUUGCAAAUAAGAUUAACCUUGGUGUAUAAAUCCGAUCAGAGUAGAGGUAGCUAUGCAAUGGUCUUGCGUCACAUCAUUAGUCUAAGGCUCUAACCACAUUCAUGGAGAAUCUAACAUCCCAACUACGCAUAUCUGUUUGUUCCGGAAGCCAAGAAAUUGAGGUACGCAGAAGAUGAACAAACCUGAGAACUGAUGAUCCAAAGAAGAGUCGGAGCUCGAGCAUCACAUAGCCGUCAGCUAUGGUGGCUUGUAGGCGGAUGUGUCUCAGACCUAAGUUUUUGCCGCUGGACCGUGGUUACGUUCAUCCUAGCUUGGAGGCAAUGGUGCGGGUGGGUAUGCAUGUGCAGGGCGAAGAAGUGGACGAAGGCCGAAGUAGCAAUCUCUGCCUCCCUAUCGCUGCGUCCUGCUCCUCAAUAUGUCACCUUAGUCAUGGCCGCCUUAUCCCUCAUGCUGCUGAUUUGAAUCUGCCCUACUCUUCUUCUCCUAGACUGCUCGAGCGCUUCAGCGGGUGCCUUCCCAACGACAGGGAAGGAAGGACCAGAGUAAGUAUAAUAUGGAAGUUCCUGUUCAAAUUAGUAGAAUAUGCUUACCAGGUGUUAGAAUUUAUAGAUAUAUACCACAAUUUUCACUACAGAUUAAAUAUAAUAUGAAAGUUCUUGUCAGUUUUCUUUGUAGUUAGUUUGCGACAAUCACAACAUGAUCAUUUGAAUAUUUUGUUGUAACAAAUCUAUUAUAGCUAUUGUUGUGAAAGAAAAAUCCUUAAAAAAUCACCCAAUAGCAACCCGAGGAAGUUAAGAGACAUAAAUGAUCCAGAUAUGGUUCCAUUAUGCUCCCUCUGUUCGAUAAUAUAUGACGUUUUCUGGCAGUACACAAUGCCAAAAACGUCUUAUAUUAUGGGACAGAAGCGAGUUUGUGAUUUUUUUGGUUAUUCUUGAUUCCACAUGCUUCAUUUGGGUGAAUAAUCCAUUGGCAUCCAAAUUUGGAGAUUAAUUCACCUAUGUAAUGUGCAUAAUCAAUGACACAUUUUUGCUAUGAUGAAUAUGUAAAUAAAUUUUGUACAAUUCCAUAAAUACACAGUUAAGCAUUUUUGUUGUAAAGAUAAUGUAGAUAAUUUUUUAUAGCUUUGCAAAUAAGAUUAACCUUGGUGUAUAAAUCCGAUCAGAGUAGAGGUAGCUAUGCAAUGGUCUUGCGUCACAUCAUUAGUCUAAGGCUCUAACCACAUUCAUGGAGAAUCUAACAUCCCAACUACGCAUAUCUGUUUGUUCCAGAAGCCAAGAAAUUGAGGUACGCAGAAGAUGAACAAACCUGAGAAUUGAUGAUCGAAUGAAGAGUCGGAGCUCGAGCAUCACAUAGCCGUCAGCUAUGGUGGCUUGUGGGCGGAUAUUUCUCAGACCUAAGUUGUUGCCGCUGGACCGUGGUUACAUUCAUCCUAGCUUGGAGGAAAUGGUGCGGGAAGAUAUGCAUGUGCAGGGCGAAGAAGUGGACGAAGGCCGAAGCAGCAAUCUCUGCCUCCCUAUCGCUGCGUCCUGCUCCUCAAUAUGUCACCUUAGUCAUGGCCGCCUUAUCCCUCAUGCUGCUGAUUUGAAUCUGCCCUACUCUUCUUCUCCUAGACUGCUCGAGCGCUUCAGCGGGUGCCUUGCCGACGACAGGGAAGGAAGGACCAGAGCAAGUAUAAUAUGGAAGUUCCUGUUCAAAUUAGUAGAAUAUGCUUACCAGGUGUUAGAAUUUAUAGAUAUAUACCACAAUUUUCACUACAGAUUAAAUAUAAUAUGAAAGUUCUUGUCAGUUUUCUUUGUAGUUAGUUUGCGACAAUCACAACAUGAUCAUUUGAAUAUUUUAUUAUAGCUAUUGUUGUGAAAGAAAAAUCCUUAAAAAAUCACCCAAUAGCAACCUGAGGAAGUUAAGAGACAUAAAUGAUCCAGAUAUGGUUCCAUUAUGCUCCCUCUGUUCGAUAAUAUAUGACGUUUUCUGGCAGUACACAAUGCCAAAAACGUCUUAUAUUAUGGGACAGAAGCGAGUUUGUGAUUUUUUUGGUUAUUCUUGAUUCCACAUGCUUCAUUUGGGUGAAUAAUCCACUGGCAUCCAAAUUUGGAGAUUAAUUCACCUAUGUAAUGUGCAUAAUCAAUGACACAUUUUUGCUAUGAUGAAUAUGUAAAUAAAUUUUGUACAAUUCCAUAAAUACACAGUUAAGCAUUUUUGUUGUAAAGAUAAUGUAGAUAAUUUUUUAUAGCUUUGCAAAUAAGAUUAACCUUGGUGUAUAAAUCCGAUCAGAGUAGAGGUAGCUAUGCAAUGGUCUUGCAUCACAUCAUUAGUCUAAGGCUCUAACCACAUUCAUGGAGAAUCUAACAUCUCAACUACGCAUAUCUGUUUGUUGCAGAAGCCACGAAAUUGAGGUACGCAGAAGAUGAACAAACCUGAGAACUGAUGAUCCAAAGAAGAGUCGGAGCUCGAGCAUCACAUAGCUGUCAGCUAUGGUGGCUUGUAGGCGGAUGUGUCUCAGACCUAAGUUUUUGCCGCUGGACCGUGGUUACGUUCAUCCUAGCUUGGAGGCAACGGUGUGGGUGGGUAUGCAUGUGCAAGGCGAAGAAGUGGACGAAGGCCGAAGAAGCAAUCUCUGCCUCCCUAUCGCUGCGUCCUGCUCCUCAAUAUGUCACCUUAGUCAUGGCCGCCUUAUCCCUCAUGCUGCUGAUUUGAACCUACCCUACUCUUCUUCUCCUAGACUGCUCGAGCGCUUCAGCGGUGCCUCGCUGACGACAGGGAAGGAAGGAUCAGAAGUGACGGCUAUAGCCCUAGGAAUUUGGAAACCAUAGGAAUUGAUCUUCUUUAUAAAACGUGUGUGGCAAGGGACGUGGAACCUGCUUCAGGGAAGACGAGAUGGAUCAUGUGAGAGAAGGGACCAGUUUUUUUUGCCAAUUGCCUAGUCCAUAUUGUCCAUGUAUUCGAAGCAUGCAAACGUGUGGCUCCUGGAGUUUGUAUUGCUCUUGGAUAUGUGUAAGCGUUUGGUUUUUUAUUUUUCCCUUUUUUGCUUUCCAAUUCGGACAUGCAUCAGUUCGUACCUGAUUGUAUUAGACUCAAACAAUACGUGUCCAAGUUUUAUUGCUCUUGGAUAUGUGUAAGCGUUUUGUUUUUUAUUUUUCCCUUUUUUGCUCUCCAAUUCGGACAUGCAUCAGUUCGUACCUGAUUGUAUUGGACUCAAACAAUACGUGUCCAAGUUUUUUUAAAACAAUAUGUGUCCAUGUAUUUCUUCCCGUGCGCCCUAGUGUUAUGGUUCUAUAUGCAUCUAACGUGGCAACAUAAAGGUUCAAUAUUGCUGGUACAUAUAUUUUUACAUGUUACAUAGAAACUUUAAAUCUCAGCCGUUGUUAUUCUAAUCAAAUGGUGUAAAAACGAUUAGCAUAUAUGGACAAACGUGAUGGCUUAUUUUACUCUUGUUUUAAUUAUAUAUAUAAUAGAUGGCCGCAGCUAGGCGUAGGUCGGGUGAUAUGCUGGAUUUGUAAACCGCGUUCGCGUCCGUCC
This 21295-nucleotide long non-coding RNA is filed under the name Triticum aestivum (bread wheat). RNAcentral's name for it is "long non-coding RNA (TAES_LNC014747)". The record is from RNAcentral. Lineage: Eukaryota; Viridiplantae; Streptophyta; Magnoliopsida; Poales; Poaceae.